GCUUGCUGGGGUGGAUGAGUGGCGAACGGGUGAGUAACACGUGAGUAACCUUCCCUUGACUCUGGGAUAAGCCUGGGAAACCGGGUCUAAUACCGGAUGCGACCGUCCACCGCAUGGUGGGGGGUGGAAAGAUUUAUCGGUCUUGGAUGGACUCGCGGCCUAUCAGCUGGUUGGUGGGGUAAUGGCCCACCAAGGCGACGACGGGUAGCCGGCCUGAGAGGGUGACCGGCCACACUGGGACUGAGACACGGCCCAGACUCCUACGGGAGGCAGCAGUGGGGAAUAUUGCACAAUGGGCGCAAGCCUGAUGCAGCGACGCCGCGUGAGGGAUGACGGCCUUCGGGUUGUAAACCUCUUUCAGUAGGGAAGAAGCGAAAGUGACGGUACCUGCAGAAGAAGCGCCGGCUAACUACGUGCCAGCAGCCGCGGUAAUACGUAGGGCGCGAGCGUUAUCCGGAAUUAUUGGGCGUAAAGAGCUCGUAGGCGGUUUGUCGCGUCUGCCGUGAAAGUCCGGGGCUUAACCCCGGAUCUGCGGUGGGUACGGGCAGACUGGAGUGCAGUAGGGGAGACUGGAAUUCCUGGUGUAGCGGUGAAAUGCGCAGAUAUCAGGAGGAACACCGAUGGCGAAGGCAGGUCUCUGGGCUGUUACUGACGCUGAGGAGCGAAAGCAUGGGGAGCGAACAGGAUUAGAUACCCUGGUAGUCCAUGCCGUAAACGUUGGGCA
This 724-nucleotide ribosomal RNA is filed under the name uncultured Actinomycetes bacterium. RNAcentral describes it as "bacterial SSU rRNA". It matches the Rfam family "Bacterial small subunit ribosomal RNA", at positions 78 to 815 of the family's 1533-position model. The record is from RNAcentral. Lineage: Bacteria; Bacillati; Actinomycetota; Actinomycetes.